UUUCAGCUUAAAAUUGUCGUACAAAAUGGUAAAACAGCACUGUUCUGAUUUGCAAGGAGAUAUAGUUGUUCAUAACUGUUGGUUGAAGACAUAAGAUCUGUUCUUGUAUAUUAUAUUAACGAAACUGCAUAGUUGAUCCUGAAGCUAAUAGUUAGCUACAAGUAUUGUCCAUAUGGUCAGCAUCCUAACAUCAUUAAAGAUCAGUAUAACUAUGCAUAUAAAGAAAUAAUUCUGGCCUCAAUUUCCGUAACUGCAAAGACAUUCCCUAGUUAAAUUAGUUAAAUAAUAAUAAGCUGCAUGUAAAAUUUGGUUGAAAAGAUUUCUCAAAAAAAAAAAAAAAG
Molecule: unclassified non-coding RNA, 341 nt
Filed under: Hevea brasiliensis (rubber tree)
Lineage: Eukaryota; Viridiplantae; Streptophyta; Magnoliopsida; Malpighiales; Euphorbiaceae
Source: RNAcentral